UUUCUGCAUUGCAGGAUCAGCGCUAAACGUGAUCAAUUUUCCCUUCCACGGUUCCUCACUCAAUUCUGAAACCAACACACCAAGUGCCACAGAAACCUCCAUCGGUAUCCCACUCAUACUCCCAGAAACAUCACAUACCGCGAUACAAUUACUUAAUUUUCCUUUCUUACAAAGAUCAUCAACCAUUCUUUUCCACUGAAGUUCAGCUACUUCCCCACCAUCUCCGUCGCUCAAUGCCCCAAUAAUCUCAUGUGGAAGCAACGCUCCGGCUGCA
RNAcentral lists this long non-coding RNA (274 nucleotides) under Nicotiana tabacum (common tobacco). Its description in RNAcentral is "long non-coding RNA (NTAB_LNC007970)". The record is from RNAcentral. Lineage: Eukaryota; Viridiplantae; Streptophyta; Magnoliopsida; Solanales; Solanaceae.